Long non-coding RNA from Alligator sinensis (Chinese alligator), 1613 nucleotides. RefSeq lists it as uncharacterized. The record is from RefSeq and is a predicted model, not a curated record. The transcript is spliced from 3 exons. NCBI's taxonomy places the organism in Eukaryota, Metazoa, Chordata, Crocodylia, Alligatoridae.
GAGCCUCCCAUUUUGUAGGGGAGGCCGGCUCCUCCCGCCGAAGGUGACAAGGAGACAGCAGCCGAUAGCCAUAACCCCGCAAAUGAUCCCUGCCUACGUGCCUUGCCGUGAAUCCCCUGAACAAAGCCCUCGUGCCAAGAGUCAGGCAGGGGAACUACAGUUCGCUCAGUGCUUUGGCCCACAUCCUGAUGCCACAACAUUUCACAGGAGUUUUGCUCUUGGGACUCCUCCCUUGAGCGUAUGUAAGACGCUGGCUGGUUUCCUGAGCUCCUAGAACAGCUUCACCGGGACAGAUUCUCUCCUGAGGGACUAGGAAGCCCCCCAGCUCUCUCAUUAGCAUCCUGUCAUAUAGAAAAGCACAUGAAAAACAAGCGCUGACACGCAUGGGGGAGAGGACGCUGGUUUGAAGAGCUCGAGGAAGCCCUGCAGAGCACAGAGCAGUCCUGUGAGCACCAACUCUGGGCACCUUCUCUACUCGCUGCCCUGCACAUAGUCCAGGAUUUGUCUACACCACAGCCCUCAGCCCUAAACCUGGGCACCAGAAGCUGUCUCGCUGGGGCAGCCCGGAGCUCCAGGUGGCUGUCGUGAUGUCUACCCCUUUCCGCCUCUGGGACACUGGCCUGGUACACCAUGUGAGCACAGCACCUACGGCCAGCGGGAGGAUUUUGGAGAGGCUUGUCUUGCAAGAAGCACCUUUAUUAAAGAGAGGGCAACCAAGUCCUGCUCUUAGUAGCAGUCCUCCUUCAGAAAUGAUGACAACCCCAGGUCCUUGUUAGCCUGGAGGGUUCAGAUUAGCUUCACGCUCCCCCUGGCCUGGCAGUAGCUGCUCCAGCUUCCAACAGUGCAGCUCCGGACUAAAGUCAGGCAAGAAGUACACCAAAACCAAGGCUGCAGGUUGCACUUGGGCUGCCCCAGUCCAGAGGCAAGUGAACCUAAUACAGAGAGAACCAGUGAGUCCCCCAGGUGGGGACCAGGCCUUGAGCCUUGGGGUCACUGGCAAGGCACUGAGGUCACGUUCCCUCGAGCAGUGCCAGGUUACAAGCAGUGGGGAGUGCCACUCCUGAUACCCCGUUGCCUGGGCUGUGCCUGCCAAAAGAAAGGCAAGGCCAUGAUGUUUCGGUCCAGCCUGGUUUCCAGUGACCUCCUGCAGCACAAGCCCGAGGCUGCCCUGUUGCUAAUUCUGCUUUGGUCUCAGUGCCCCGCGGCAGGACGCCCGGUGCCAAAGAUACCUUGGCCGUGGUUGCCCACUGACACCUGACCUCCACCUCCAGCUACAACCCCAGACAAAAAUAAACCGGGAAAGGCAAGGACAACGACAGGCCAUGCCGAGCCCAUUGUCCCAGAGACAAUGCUAGCUCUGAAUGAGGGGCUGGUGAGGAAUCCAGAUAACCCCUCCAUGUACUGCCGGGCCCCUCCAGCCUUCUCCAGCAGUGAAAUCCUGGCUCUCCAAGGCAGAGAGAGAGGAGUCCACAGCUCUCCCCAUACUCGCUGGCCAGGUUGGACAAUGUUUUCCCACUCAAUCUUUUUUUCUUUCUCAGCACAAAAUUGGGAUUUGACGGCGUGAAAAGAUGUGUGUCCCUUGACAUUUUUCAGGUUUCUUUAGAAAAGUAAAA